GUGGGGAAUCUUGCGCAAUGGGCGAAAGCCUGACGCAGCCAUGCCGCGUGAAUGAUGAAGGUCUUAGGAUUGUAAAAUUCUUUCACCGGGGACGAUAAUGACGGUACCCGGAGAAGAAGCUCCGGCUAACUUCGUGCCAGCAGCCGCGGUAAUACGAAGGGGGCUAGCGCUGCUCGGAAUUACUGGGCGUAAAGGGCGCGUAGGCGGACAGCUUAGUCAGAGGUGAAAGCCCAGGGCUCAACCUUGGAAUUGCCUUUGAUACUGGCUGUCUUGAGUUUGGGAGAGGUGAGUGGAACUCCGAGUGUAGAGGUGAAAUUCGUAGAUAUUCGGAAGAACACCAGUGGCGAAGGCGACUCACUGGCCCAAUACUGACGCUGAGGCGCGAAAGCGUGGGGAGCAAACAGGAUUAGAAACCCUUGUAGUCC
Molecule: ribosomal RNA, 425 nt
Filed under: uncultured bacterium
Lineage: Bacteria
Description: partial 16S ribosomal RNA
Rfam family: Bacterial small subunit ribosomal RNA
Source: RNAcentral